UACGAAGGGUGCAAGCGUUACUCGGAAUUACUGGGCGUAAAGCGUGCGUAGGUGGUGAGUUAAGUCUGUCGUGAAAGCCCCCGGGCUCAACCUGGGAAUGGCGAUGGAUACUGGCUCGCUAGAGUGCGGUAGAGGAGAGUGGAAUUCCCGGUGUAGCAGUGAAAUGCGUAGAGAUCGGGAGGAACAUCAGUUGCGAAGGCGGCUCUCUGGACCAGCACUGACACUGAGGCACGAAAGCGUGGGGAGCAAACAGG
Molecule: ribosomal RNA, 254 nt
Filed under: uncultured bacterium
Lineage: Bacteria
Description: partial 16S ribosomal RNA
Rfam family: Bacterial small subunit ribosomal RNA
Source: RNAcentral